UCAACCGAGUUUCUUUUCCUUUUUCGCUUUUGUUUUGAAUCCUACAAGACAACCGUCUCUCGCAAUGAAAACUUGGGUAAACUUCAAGCUGGUUAUCUCUUUCCUGAGAUUGCUAGAAGAAAGUCUGCACACUUGCUCAAGUACCCUGAUGCAAUAACAAUAAGCCUUGGGAUUGGUGAUACUACUGAACCCAUUCCUGAAGUCAAAAGUUCUGCAUUGACAAAGGUAGAACAUUGGUGUUAGUGAAGCCGAUGUAUGUGUCUUCCAUGUUUGCACUUUCGACAGUAGAAAAUAAUCUGUUUUGUUUCUCUUUUUUCUCUGCUUCGGAUGCCUUAUUUUGAUGUUGUCAUCUCCCAU
Vicia faba (fava bean) is the source of this 357-nucleotide non-coding RNA. The record is from the annotation of a GenBank genome assembly. NCBI's taxonomy places the organism in Eukaryota, Viridiplantae, Streptophyta, Magnoliopsida, Fabales, Fabaceae.